Long non-coding RNA from Lycium ferocissimum, 651 nucleotides. RefSeq lists it as uncharacterized. The transcript has 2 exons. NCBI's taxonomy places the organism in Eukaryota, Viridiplantae, Streptophyta, Magnoliopsida, Solanales, Solanaceae. The record is from RefSeq and is a predicted model, not a curated record.
CUAGUUUCAAUUAUUAAUUUUGCAAUUAUAAAAAAAUUGUUGGUGGAGUUGGUGAUUUUGCAACAAUCCGAAGUAGCUCCAAAGCUUGGGUGGAUUUGCAAUUCUAGCCGCCUUCACUUUGGUGGAAAUUAGUCCGCCAAAUGUGGAUAUCAACCAACUAGAUGAUUUGGACGUCUUAGCAUGGUGGAAGAAAUACAAGACGAGUCAUCCGAUACUUUCAAGAAUGGAUCAAGAUAUCCUUACGGUUCAAAUAUCAACUGUGGCUUCGAAAAGUGCAUUUAGCCAAGGAAAAUAACAAAUUGGAGACCAUAGACACUCAUUAUCCGAAUUUAGCUUGCAAGUACUAGUUUGCAUUCGCGAUUGGAUUAGAUCGGAGGGAUGCAACCAAAACUCAUAAGCGGUGGAAGGCGAAGAGGAAGAGAUUGAAGAUUUGAUAGCAAGUGGAAUAGACCAAAUGGAAGACUUUGAAAAUAUCUCAAUGACCGAAUAUGAUAUGGCGGAUAUUAGCCAAAUGAUUGACACUUUUUGAUUUUAUUAUUCUACUACUUUUUUGCAAUUCAUGUAUUAUUUGCAAGUUAAAAAAAACUACAAUUUGCAAAUAAAUGUUAUCCAUGAAUGAAUAAAAUAUAUGGCUCAUUGAGCUUUCUUCUA